RNAcentral lists this ribosomal RNA (1339 nucleotides) under uncultured bacterium. RNAcentral describes it as "bacterial SSU rRNA". It matches the Rfam family "Bacterial small subunit ribosomal RNA", at positions 28 to 1381 of the family's 1533-position model. The record is from RNAcentral.
GACGAACGCUGUCGGCGUGCUUAACACAUGCAAGUCGAACGGAAAGGCUCCUGCUUGCAGGGGUACUCGAGUGGCGAACGGGUGAGUAACACGUGGGUGAUCUGCCUUGCACUCUGGGAUAAGCUUGGGAAACUGGGUCUAAUACCGGAUAGGAACCGUCUUUAGUGUGGUGGUUGGAAAGUUUUUUCGGUGCAAGAUGAGCUCGCGGCCUAUCAGCUUGUUGGUGGGGUAAUGGCCUACCAAGGCGUCGACGGGUAGCCGGCCUGAGAGGGUGUACGGCCACAUUGGGACUGAGAUACGGCCCAGACUCCUACGGGAGGCAGCAGUGGGGAAUAUUGCACAAUGGGCGGAAGCCUGAUGCAGCGACGCCGCGUGGGGGAUGACGGCCUUCGGGUUGUAAACUCCUUUCGACAGGGACGAAGCGCAAGUGACGGUACCUGUAUAAGAAGCACCGGCUAACUACGUGCCAGCAGCCGCGGUAAUACGUAGGGUGCGAGCGUUGUCCGGAAUUACUGGGCGUAAAGAGCUCGUAGGUGGUUUGUCGCGUCGUCUGUGAAAUUCCGGGGCUUAACUCCGGGCGUGCAGGCGAUACGGGCAUAACUUGAGUGCUGUAGGGGAGACUGGAAUUCCUGGUGUAGCGGUGAAAUGCGCAGAUAUCAGGAGGAACACCGAUGGCGAAGGCAGGUCUCUGGGCAGUUACUGACGCUGAGGAGCGAAAGCAUGGGUAGCGAACAGGAUUAGAUACCCUGGUAGUCCAUGCCGUAAACGGUGGGCGCUAGGUGUAGGGGGCUUCCACGUCUUCUGUGCCGUAGCUAACGCAGUAAGCGCCCCGCCUGGGGAGUACGGCCGCAAGGCUAAAACUCAAAGGAAUUGACGGGGGCCCGCACAAGCGGCGGAGCAUGUGGAUUAAUUCGAUGCAACGCGAAGAACCUUACCUGGGCUUGACAUACACCAGAUCGCUGCAGAGAUGUAGUUUCCCUUGUGGUUGGUGUACAGGUGGUGCAUGGUUGUCGUCAGCUCGUGUCGUGAGAUGUUGGGUUAAGUCCCGCAACGAGCGCAACCCUUGUCUUAUGUUGCCAGCAUUUGGUUGGGGACUCAUGAGAGACUGCCGGGGUUAACUCGGAGGAAGGUGGGGAUGACGUCAAAUCAUCAUGCCCCUUAUGUCCAGGGCUUCACACAUGCUACAAUGGUCGGUACAACGCGCAGUGACACUGUGAGGUGGAGCGAAUCGCUGAAAGCCGGUCUUAGUUCGGAUUGGGGUCUGCAACUCGACCCCAUGAAGUCGGAGUCGCUAGUAAUCGUAGAUCAGCAAUGCUGCGGUGAAUACGUUCCCGGGCCU